UACGGGGGGGGCAAGCGUUGUUCGGAAUUACUGGGCGUAAAGCGCACGUAGGCGGCUUGGCAUGUCGGGUGUGAAAUCCCCGGGCUCAACCUGGGAACUGCAUCCGAAACUGCCUUGCUCGAGUAUGGGAGAGGGAAGUGGAAUUUCCGGUGUAGCGGUGAAAUGCGUAGAUAUCGGAAGGAACAUCAGUGGCGAAGGCGACUUCCUGGACCAAUACUGACACUGAGGAGCGAAAGCCAGGGGAGCAAACGGG
RNAcentral lists this ribosomal RNA (253 nucleotides) under uncultured bacterium. RNAcentral's name for it is "partial 16S ribosomal RNA". It matches the Rfam family "Bacterial small subunit ribosomal RNA", at positions 524 to 776 of the family's 1533-position model. The record is from RNAcentral.